Molecule: ribosomal RNA, 381 nt
Filed under: uncultured bacterium
Lineage: Bacteria
Description: bacterial SSU rRNA
Rfam family: Bacterial small subunit ribosomal RNA
Source: RNAcentral
AUUGAACGCUGGCGGCAUGCCUUACACAUGCAAGUCGAACGGCAGCACGGGAGCAAUCCUGGUGGCGAGUGGCGAACGGGUGAGUAAUAUAUCGGAACGUGCCCAGUCGUGGGGAUAACGUAGCGAAAGCUACGCUAAUACCGCAUACGAUCUAUGGAUGAAAGCGGGGGGAUCGCAAGACCUCGCGCGAUUGGAGCGGCCGAUAUCAGAUUAGGUAGUUGGUGAGGUAAAGGCUCACCAAGCCGACGAUCUGUAGCUGGUCUGAGAGGACGACCAGCCACACUGGGACUGAGACACGGCCCAGACUCCUACGGGAGGCAGCAGUGGGGAAUUUUGGACAAUGGCGCAAGCCUGAUCCAGCAAUGCCGCGUGCAGGAUGAA